Molecule: non-coding RNA, 1583 nt
Organism: Zonotrichia albicollis (white-throated sparrow)
Lineage: Eukaryota; Metazoa; Chordata; Aves; Passeriformes; Passerellidae
Source: RefSeq, a predicted model, not a curated record
CUGCCAGCGGGGCCGCCUCGGUGUCGAUGCCUGCGUUAUUUUGCCCGCUCCGCCCCCGCCGGAGAAACCUCAUCCUACUUAUAGUGGCGACCGCAAGCGCCGAGCAGUCAUGAGUCAGCCGUGCCCAGCAUCGCACGGGGAGGCAGCCAUGCUUCUGCUUCUACCAGCCUUCCCAGGAUCUCUUCAACUGCUGCUUCAGCUACGGCAAACAACAGAACAAAUCCCAAAUCAGAGCCCUUGUUCAGCAAAGAUCUACACACAGAAGAAACAGCCUGCCAAAUACAGAGGUCUGAAACUGCCUGCAGUGUGUUGGUCUGUUUACCUAGCAUGGCUCAUGCUAUUCUAUUUGCUUAAGUGUCAUUACAUGCAUCCUGGGAGAGGUGAGAGGAAUGCCUUCUGCAACCUAUGCUGAGUUUUUCUGAAACCAUGAUGUGAAAAGAAUGCCAUUUCAUGUCAAGGAACUGUUAUUUCACCUAGCAUUUUGUAUUCCUCAGACUACAUUUUACCUGCCUGGGGUGUGUAUGUGUGAUCUACUGAAAUCACUCGCCAUCUUCCAUAAUUUAUGCUGCUCUUCAGUCUUAGCAGUGUGCAUAAACUUCAGUGACACUUUGUCAUUCCUCUCUAAAUCAUUUUGAAAAAUCAUUUGAGGAACAGCUCCAGAUCCAUGGUAUUCUGUGUUUCUCCUGCUUCACUUUCCAGACCAGGUUCUGAAGUGGCAGGAUGACACAGCAGAAGAAAAAUCACAGCCAGGAAGGUGUGCAUUGUCCCAGUAGCAAGAAAUUGGAAUGUAUCAUGUGGUAGCAUGAACCUUGGCAUACCUAUUCAGCCUGGCAGUGUCAUCCCAUGGUGAUGGAGGCAAGGAGAAUCCAGCUGAAAGAAAAUGUUCACCUUUUUCUUCAGGCAAUCUCUUCAUAAAACCUCACAGUGAGCAAAUAAACAUAGUGGAAGAGGGGAGGUGUGAGGGGUAAUCUUUAAGACACUAGGGACUUAGCAUUUACUAUUGUCACGCAGGACUGUACCCAGAUUAUUUGUUUCCUAUUGCUUAAUCCAUUUAUAACACAGUGUACUAAUCCACAGUUUGUCAUUUGACCCAGUGCCCUGCUGUGUGGAGCUCUGUCAAAGGAAUUUGAAAACCUGCUGACACUUUCUGCUUCCUUAAAUCAAUGGGACUCUUUUGUGGGUUUGAGGGAGAGAGCUGCAGCUCAGCUGGCCUGAUCCCGCACCCCAAAUUAACAAUGUCUGUGGUUGCACAUAGUGAGCCUCCUCAGUGCUGGAGUUGACCCUGCCUACCUUCCUUUCUGUCUCAUAUUUUGGAAGAGAGAAAUUCUUUAGUCUUGGAAAACAUCCUUGUUUUUCCACACUGCAUGCUCUUGCCAGUCUUUCUGUUCUGAAGUUUAGCUUCUGAACACUCCUGAAUUCUUUUAACUUCAUCAGCUUAGGUUUUCUUAACUUGCUCCUUUGCCUCCUCUUCAGAAAUGUUUAUCUUCAUAACAGCACAAUCAGCAUUUCAAUAAAUUUCAAAAUCCCCCACUACAGUGAGAACAAAUGUAAAUAAUAAAUUCAGCUUCUUGAAAAUAUCUUAA